UGUUAUACUUAUUAUAAAAUAAUUGAUGCCUGAUUAGUAAAAGUUAUGUGCUCUAAAUUCAAAGAAUUUGGCGGCUUUUUAAUCUUAUUAGGGGAACCUGUUCUUUAAACGAUAAUCCACGUAAUAUCUUACCUAUUUUUAGUUUGUAUACCGUCAUUUAAGUAACUUUUGUAGAAGUAGUUAUUAGGAUAAUAGUUAAAAUGUUAGAUCAAGGUGCAGCAUAUGAGUAGGUUAGAAUGGGUUACAAUAAAAUUUAUUUAUAACGGAAA
This 269-nucleotide ribosomal RNA is filed under the name Clibanarius ambonensis. RNAcentral's name for it is "partial 12S rRNA". Lineage: Eukaryota; Metazoa; Arthropoda; Malacostraca; Decapoda; Diogenidae. The record is from RNAcentral.